RNAcentral lists this ribosomal RNA (735 nucleotides) under uncultured bacterium. RNAcentral describes it as "bacterial SSU rRNA". It matches the Rfam family "Bacterial small subunit ribosomal RNA", at positions 94 to 845 of the family's 1533-position model. The record is from RNAcentral.
AGUGGCGAACGGGUGAGUAACGCGUGAGGAACCUGCCUCAAAGAGGGGGACAACAGUUGGAAACGACUGCUAAUACCGCAUAAGCCCACGGUGCCGCAUGGUACAGAGGGAAAAGGAGCAAUCCGCUUUGAGAUGGCCUCGCGUCCGAUUAGCUAGUUGGUGAGGUAAUGGCCCACCAAGGCAACGAUCGGUAGCCGGACUGAGAGGUUGAACGGCCACAUUGGGACUGAGACACGGCCCAGACUCCUACGGGAGGCAGCAGUGGGGAAUAUUGCACAAUGGGGGAAACCCUGAUGCAGCGACGCCGCGUGGAGGAAGAAGGUCUUCGGAUUGUAAGCUCCUGUUGUUGGGGAAGAUAAUGACGGUACCCAACAAGGAAGUGACGGCUAACUACGUGCCAGCAGCCGCGGUAAAACGUAGGUCACAAGCGUUGUCCGGAAUUACUGGGUGUAAAGGGAGCGCAGGCGGGAAGACAAGUUGGAAGUGAAAUCUAUGGGCUCAACCCAUAAACUGCUUUCAAAACUGUUUUUCUUGAGUAGUGCAGAGGUAGGCGGAAUUCCCGGUGUAGCGGUGGAAUGCGUAGAUAUCGGGAGGAACACCAGUGGCGAAGGCGGCCUACUGGGCACCAACUGACGCUGAGGCUCGAAAGUGUGGGUAGCAAACAGGAUUAGAUACCCUGGUAGUCCACACCGUAAACGAUGAUUACUAGGUGUUGGAGGAUUGACCCCUUCAGUG